UACGGAGGGUGCGAGCGUUGUCCGGAUUUAUUGGGUUUAAAGGGUGCGUAGGUGGGUUAAUAAGUCAGUGGUGAAAUACAGUUGCUCAACAAUCGAGGUGCCAUUGAUACUGUUAAUCUUGAAACAAGUGGAGGUUGCCGGAAUGGAUGGUGUAGCGGUGAAAUGCAUAGAUAUCAUCCAGAACACCGAUUGCGAAGGCAGGUGACUACGUUUGAUUUGACACUGAGGCACGAAAGCAUGGGGAGCAAACAGG
This 253-nucleotide ribosomal RNA is filed under the name uncultured bacterium. RNAcentral describes it as "partial 16S ribosomal RNA". It matches the Rfam family "Bacterial small subunit ribosomal RNA", at positions 524 to 776 of the family's 1533-position model. The record is from RNAcentral.